Sapajus apella (tufted capuchin) is the source of this 164-nucleotide long non-coding RNA. RefSeq lists it as uncharacterized. The transcript is spliced from 3 exons. Lineage: Eukaryota; Metazoa; Chordata; Mammalia; Primates; Cebidae. The record is from RefSeq and is a predicted model, not a curated record.
ACAUACUCCCAAAACUAACCAGGAACAAGCUGAAUCUCUGAAGAGAUGAAUAACAAGGUCUGAAGUUGACACAGCAAUUAAUAGCCUACUUAACCAAAAAAAGUACAGGGCCAGAUGGGUUCACAGCUGAAUUCUACCAGAGGUACAAAGAGGAGCUGGUACCA